Molecule: RNA transcript, 4028 nt
Organism: Bombus huntii
Lineage: Eukaryota; Metazoa; Arthropoda; Insecta; Hymenoptera; Apidae
Gene name: venom serine protease Bi-VSP-like
Exons: 8
Source: RefSeq, a predicted model, not a curated record
GGCGACUUCCAGAAACGUCGACUCGUGGCCCGUAUUUUACCUCGCAGUAAAAGAAUGUGGCGUGAUCCGAACGUAGUGGGGGUCGCCUUCCAGAAAAAACGAAAAAAAUCGAAAGGCGUUCAGAACUUUUCGAGAAGUCGAACCGUCAACACAUGUGGCGCUUGGCCAUGGAUCGUUGCAUUAGGUUUUCGUAAUCCCCGAAACCCAGACAAACCACUAUGGAAGUGCGGAGGUUCCCUGAUAUCGGCUAGGCAUGUUUUGACCGCAGCACAUUGUGCACAUAUGGAUGGAAUAGAAAACAUACACAAUCAUAAUAUUGCCAUUCUUAGAUUGGUGGAGGAGGUGCCAUUUUCGAGGUACGUAUAUCCCAUUUGUACGAAAGAGCUCCUGCGAAAGAGCAACUUCGUCGGCUAUAACCCCCUUGUUGCUGGAUGGGGAGCAUUAAGAUAUAGUAAGUGAUAUCAAUUUUAUAAUAAAAUUAAACAGUUCCAGUCUUAAAUAUCUUUCUUAUUUUCUUCGUAGGACGACCACGACGUAAUGCAUUAAUGGAAGUACAAAUGCCAGUGAUUAAGAACGCCGAAUGCAAAAUAGCUUAUUCCAAAUUUCCUAAUGCACCUGAUGUCACUGAUGGUAUAAUAUGCGCCGAACGUGCUCAGGGUGGAAAGGAUUCUUAUACGGUAAUUAAGUUACAGAGUUACUACAAACUAUACGGUAUCUGAAGACACGUCAAUUCGAAUUAACAUCAAAUCGACGUCUUAAACAUUAAAAAUAAUAGAUAAACACAAUUUAAUAGUUUUGCCCACUUCUCACACCUCGUUAUGGUAUUUAAUCUAAUUUCCUCCUAAUCUUAGUUUUGCUCAAAAUACAUAUAACAUGUACGUUAUAAAUUGGAGUAUUUCAAUACACAAAUCAAUAGAAGAUUAUUACUGUAUAUAAGUAUAAUUUCAAUACAAUUCGAUCGAUAUAUUUCAGUAUCUUUGAUUAAAAAUUUAACGAUCCUUUCAGGCUGACCGCGGCGGACCACUGCUGAUACAACAUGAAUUAACCUCGUAUUUAAUAGAUUAUAGAUUCCUAUACGACUCUCAGUAAAAAUUUAUCCGCACUCCAGAUAGUUAAAACUUCUGUCGACCGUAUUGAUCCAUCUGCACUCUUCGUAUGACGUCAAUAUCUGUUCAGUGCUGCUGCGCAGGUUUCUUUGUGUUACGUCAAUUCGUUUGUGACCGUUGCGCGAGUAAUGGCGCUUUGCAAUGGUGAUUUGCAGGAAAACAGUGCAGAAUGCUGUGAUUCGUUUCUUGUGGUCGGAGGUUAUGUUUGGUGCCUAUAUUUAUCAAAGAUUUAAUGCACAUUAUGGAGAAAGUGUUUUGUCACGAAGUGUGUUUGAAUGGGCACAAAAGUUCAAAGAAGAUCGCACAAGUGUUAUGAAAAAACAGGUGGACGCUCGUCCACAUCCACGAUGACAACAUUGAACGUGCUCAUGAACUUAUGCUCUAUGGAAUAGACGAGUGACACUGGAUAAUGUGGCAAAUCAUUUGCAAAUCAGCCACGGCUCUGCUUAUGCAAUAGUGCACGACAGAUUUGGGUUUUAAAAAGUUUGUGCGAGAUGGAUGCCGAAAAAGCUGAUGAAAAGGUGAAGACGACGAUGCAUUCGUGGUUCGCAGCUCAGCCCAAAACAUUUUUUAAUGAGAAAAUACGAAGGUCCUUCGGCAAAUGGACAAAGUGUAUACAGAAAUCGAGUGAUUAUGUCAAAAAAUGAUGUAUGUCUUUUUUGACAAUUGCUUAAAAUAAAUUCUAUACCGACAGAGCGGGUAACUUUUUACUCACCCUCGCUGUUAAUCUAGAGGCUGGAGUACAAAGAAGUGGCACAAUGAUGUGGGCUGAUGACAUUUAUAAUUAUCAAGGAAUCACCCCUACAUUCGCUCAGAAUUUUAAUGAAACUGUCCCUUGGGAAGGAAGAACUGAUACCUUGAUAUCACGGUUUGUACAUCCUAUAUAUACGACAAAUUUUAGAACAUUAUAUAACGAAGAACCAGAUCGUCGUGGCCAUGUGAUGUGAAUAAAAGGACUUGAAUUUGAUGAUAUUUUUAUAAUGUUAGAUAACAUAACUAAGUAUCUUCACAGUAAGAUAGGAUGACAUGGUUUACAUGAUCUUAAUGUUGUUCACUUGAGUGAUGAUAUUAUAAGGAAAAGUGUAAUAUCACAGGAUAUUUAUGUUUAGUAACCAGUAAUUCAGAGAUUGGUAUUCAUGGUUACUAUAACGAGGCUGUAGAAACGCACCCUUUCUUCUUUGCAAAUGGUCCUGUAUUUAUGUCUAAGCCGAAACUGGAACCUCUGAAUAAUUUAGAUUUAUUCUUGUUAUUUUCUAAAAUACUUAUCUACAGUAUACCAUAAGGAAUGAUACCGUAUCGCACCUAAUCAAGUGCCUUAAGAAACAUCAACAGGAUAUCACAGUAAUCCCGUAUCGACUGAUAUUUGUAGCCACUACAAUAUCUAUGACACUGGUAGUAAUUAUGAGAACAAUAAUGAUGUGUUCUAUAAGAGGAAAUGAUGAUUAGGAACAAAAACUUACAGGUAAGUCAAAGUAUAUGUUAUUUGCCAUUUGAAAAGAAAGUUACUAACUUGGAAUUUUUUGAUAAAUAAUAAUUGUAUCAUACGUACUUUUGAAUUCGUGCAAGAACAUAUGUAAUUUUGAAGUAGUUAUUAUUAGGAAAUUGUUAGACACGAACAGUAUGCGAAAAGUUAGUAUGCAGUGUAAUAAUUAUCAAUCAAAACACAAGAAUUAAAUUCUUGAGGAAAAAAUUUCCGGAAUUUCUUAUUUACAUGAUUAUAAAGAAAUCCAUAAUAAAAAGGAGCUGCUUUCUAAUACUUCUCUUCCUUGUAAUGCCUGCGUUAAUAAUAACGAGGUUCGACUUUUUGUUUUUAGAGGGAUACUGGAAAAUUUGAAAGUACAGUACCAUUGGGAAGAAAAUCACGAUAUUGAAAACGAUAUUUGCAAGUAAAUUUCCAAAAAAUCUGUUUUCAAAUUUUCGCUUUCUAUUUCACAUUAAAAGAAAGGGAGGGCUGCCUUCUUUUUCUGCAAGACAAAACAAACAUUCUGAAUCUCGUAUCAAUGAAUGAUGUCAAUAAGUUAUUUUUCUUUUCAGAUUGAACAAUAUUCCAGAUUUAUUCAUAAUUUCAUACUACGCGAAGAAUAGACUUUUCAUAGGUAUAUAAAGGAAAUAUUAAGUAUAGGAAAACUCUUUUUCGUUGUAGGUGACAUAUGCUUCACGGUUGAACACAUGUAUUUUUGAACACAUAUAAAUGAAAAAGUACUCUUAUGGAGAAAAAGAAUUGAUACCUUCGAUUGACAUUAGAUAAUGUAUAUAAACUUAUGAACAAUCACUAUCAGUUUGUAUCUUAGGUGCACACGCAGAUUUGUUGGAGUUCUUAUAAAAUGUACUUCCUGUACGAACGUUUUAUUCUUCCAAAUUUUACGAUACUAUGUCUCAUAUAAUAACUAUAUGGAUUAAACGUAAUAUAAAUGAUCCGAAAAUAGACUCGAACGACAUUAAUUGUCUUUCUAUUUAUACCAAUAUCGAAAAUACAAGUAAAGCUGGAGCAAUAGUAUGCAAGAAUGGACUAUUUAUUAUUUUAAACCAAAUCAUAGCAUAUUCAGAAUGCACAGUAUUAUCAUGAAAUGUAAAUGAAUCAGUUGUAAACGAACGAUUUUACUGUAAAAUCGUUGCCUCCUUUUUUUCAUCUGAAAUAUAGCAGCAAUGAGUACAUUCUUUUAAUAUAUAAUAAAACGAGAUAUCUUUAUAAAGUUACAUAUGUCAUCACUGGUAACUGUUAUCUCGUAUGACACCAAAUAUACCGUUAGUAUGGAAUGAUAUUUUUAUGAAGAUAUACUUUAAUGAUAGAUUUUAUGAAUGAAACGUUAUAUAAGAAAAAUUAUCUCUUGUUAUUCUAUGAAGUGUAGUAGCUAAUGAAGAUUAAUUUUACGAAGUAUUAGAGCAAAAGAGAAUUAAAAAAUUAAAAAGAUCUAAAUAAGA